This 30-nucleotide non-coding RNA is filed under the name Homo sapiens (human). The record is from RNAcentral. Lineage: Eukaryota; Metazoa; Chordata; Mammalia; Primates; Hominidae.
UGCCUCAUCAAGGGAGCCUGACCUCACUCU